Molecule: ribosomal RNA, 180 nt
Filed under: uncultured bacterium
Lineage: Bacteria
Description: partial 16S ribosomal RNA
Rfam family: Bacterial small subunit ribosomal RNA
Source: RNAcentral
CAUGAAGCUGGAAUCGCUAGUAAUCGCGGAUCAGAAUGCCGCGGUGAAUACGUUCCCGGGUCUUGUACACACCGCCCGUCACACCAUGAGAGUUGGAAUACCCGAAGCCUGUGAGCUAACUUAUAGAGGCAGCAGUCGAAGGUAGAAUCAAUGAUUGGGGUGAAGUCGUAACAAGGUAAC